This 468-nucleotide ribosomal RNA is filed under the name uncultured bacterium. RNAcentral's name for it is "partial 16S ribosomal RNA". It matches the Rfam family "Bacterial small subunit ribosomal RNA", at positions 28 to 507 of the family's 1533-position model. The record is from RNAcentral.
GACGAACGCUGGCGGCGUGCUUAACACAUGCAAGUCGAACGGAAAGGCCCUGCUUUUGUGGGGUGCUCGAGUGGCGAACGGGUGAGUGACACGUGAGUAACCUGCCCUUGACUUUGGGAUAACUUCAGGAAACUGGGGCUAAUACCGGAUAGGAGCGCCUGCUGCAUGGUGGGGGUUGGAAAGUUUCGGCGGUUGGGGAUGGACUCGCGGCUUAUCAGCUUGUUGGUGGGGUAGUGGCUUACCAAGGCUUUGACGGGUAGCCGGCCUGAGAGGGUGACCGGCCACAUUGGGACUGAGAUACGGCCCAGACUCCUACGGGAGGCAGCAGUGGGGAAUAUUGCACAAUGGGCGGAAGCCUGAUGCAGCAACGCCGCGUGCGGGAUGACGGCCUUCGGGUUGUAAACCGCUUUCGCCUGUGACGAAGCGUGAGUGACGGUAAUGGGUAAAGAAGCACCGGCUAACUACGUG